CGGGCUGUAGUAUAGUGGUAGUAUACAUCCAUGGGGUGGAUGCGGUCCGGGUUCGAUUCCCGGCAGCCCGA
Molecule: transfer RNA, 71 nt
Filed under: Patescibacteria group bacterium
Lineage: Bacteria
Also listed under: 2 other names
Description: tRNA-Pro
Rfam family: tRNA
About the family: Transfer RNA (tRNA) molecules are approximately 80 nucleotides in length. Their secondary structure includes four short double-helical elements and three loops (D, anti-codon, and T loops).
Source: RNAcentral